RNAcentral lists this ribosomal RNA (428 nucleotides) under uncultured bacterium. RNAcentral's name for it is "partial 16S ribosomal RNA". It matches the Rfam family "Bacterial small subunit ribosomal RNA", at positions 354 to 796 of the family's 1533-position model. The record is from RNAcentral.
GUGGGGAAUAUUGGGCAAUGGGGGCAACCCUGACCCAGCAACGCCGCGUGAGGGAAGAAGGUUUUCGGAUUGUAAACCUCUGUCCUAUGGGAAGACGGAAGUGACGGUACCAUAGGAGGAAGCCCCGGCUAACUACGUGCCAGCAGCCGCGGUAAUACGUAGGGGGCGAGCGUUGUCCGGAAUUACUGGGCGUAAAGGGUGCGCAGGUGGCCUGACAAGUCAGAUGUGAAAUACCGAUGCUUAACGUCGGGGCUGCAUUUGAAACUAUGAGGCGGGAGUGAAGGAGAGGGAGACGGAAUUCCUAGUGUAGAGGUGAAAUGCAUAGAUAUUAGGAGGAACACCAGUGGCGAAGGCGGCUUUCUGGACUGUAACUGACACUGAGGCACGAAAGCGUGGGGAGCAAACAGGAUUAGAAACCCUGGUAGUCC